GAGUUUGAUCGUGGCUCAGGACGAACGCUGGCGGCGUGCCUAAUACAUGCAAGUCGAGCGGAUCUUCAUUAGCUUGCUUUUGAAGAUCAGCGGCGGACGGGUGAGUAACACGUGGGCAACCUGCCUGUAAGACUGGGAUAACUUCGGGAAACCGGAGCUAAUACCGGAUAAUCCUUUUCCUCUCAUGAGGAAAAGCUGAAAGACGGUUUCGGCUGUCACUUACAGAUGGGCCCGCGGCGCAUUAGCUAGUUGGUGAGGUAACGGCUCACCAAGGCGACGAUGCGUAGCCGACCUGAGAGGGUGAUCGGCCACACUGGGACUGAGACACGGCCCAGACUCCUACGGGAGGCAGCAGUAGGGAAUCUUCCGCAAUGGGCGAAAGUCUGACGGAGCAACGCCGCGUGAGCGAUGAAGGCCUUCGGUCGUAA
This 428-nucleotide ribosomal RNA is filed under the name uncultured microorganism. Its description in RNAcentral is "bacterial SSU rRNA". It matches the Rfam family "Bacterial small subunit ribosomal RNA", at positions 9 to 428 of the family's 1533-position model. The record is from RNAcentral.